This 653-nucleotide ribosomal RNA is filed under the name uncultured bacterium. RNAcentral describes it as "bacterial SSU rRNA". It matches the Rfam family "Bacterial small subunit ribosomal RNA", at positions 1 to 655 of the family's 1533-position model. The record is from RNAcentral.
AUUAGAGUUUGAUCCUGGCUCAGAUUGAACGCUGGCGGCAUGCCUUACACAUGCAAGUCGAACGGUAACGCGGGGCAACCUGGCGACGAGUGGCGAACGGGUGAGUAAUAUAUCGGAACGUGCCCAGUAGUGGGGGAUAGCCCGGCGAAAGCCGGAUUAAUACCGCAUACGACCUAAGGGUGAAAGCGGGGGAUCGCAAGACCUCGCGCUAUUGGAGCGGCCGAUAUCAGAUUAGGUAGUUGGUGGGGUAAAAGCCUACCAAGCCUGCGAUCUGUAGCUGGUCUGAGAGGACGACCAGCCACACUGGGACUGAGACACGGCCCAGACUCCUACGGGAGGCAGCAGUGGGGAAUUUUGGACAAUGGGCGCAAGCCUGAUCCAGCCAUGCCGCGUGCGGGAAGAAGGCCUUCGGGUUGUAAACCGCUUUUGUCAGGGAAGAAACGCUCUGGGCUAAUACCCUGGGGUAAUGACGGUACCUGAAGAAUAAGCACCGGCUAACUACGUGCCAGCAGCCGCGGUAAUACGUAGGGUGCAAGCGUUAAUCGGAAUUACUGGGCGUAAAGCGUGCGCAGGCGGUCUUGCAAGACAGAUGUGAAAUCCCCGGGCUCAACCUGGGAACUGCAUUUGUGACUGCAAGGCUAGAGUACGGCAGA